UUUAGGGUUUGCCCUGAAUGACACCAGAUGCAAAGGUAAUCAUGUAUGACACCCAAGAAACAGAGCAUAAAACGGAAGAAGAACGCAAGAGAGACCAUAGAAACGCCCUGAGGAGGGCUUCCUAUCGACGGAAGAAACAAUAUAAUGUUCAAGUUGAACAUGCACAGACCCUUCAUUUAUCAGGUAAGCUUAUAAUGAUUUAACCAUUAUGGUCAGAACCGUCUUAAUAAUUAAGCAUUAAUAUGUGUGGACAACUUAGGUUCACCAGGCAAUCCCACUAGCUCUAACUAUACAUCAUUCUCGCGUGAUGCGCGGACAUUUCCUGAUACAACUACGGUCUCAUGUGGGAUCGUUAAUGACAACGAGCUACAAGAUGUGAUUUUGAAUGACACACAAGAAACAGAGGAAAAAACAGAAGAAGAACGCAAGAGAGACCAUAGAAACGCCCUGCGGCGAGCUGCUUAUUGGAGGAACAAGGAUAAGCAUAUCAAAGAUCAAAACAAACGUCCAUCUGGUACUUCAGGUAUACGCUUACGUUCAAUAUCCUUUUCGGAAGCCGGGCCCUACUAUUCUAGAUGGCACUCCUCCAGUGCCGAUAAAUCAAACUGUUCUAACUAUGUUUUGAAAAUAUUAUUGAUCCA
This is a non-coding RNA of Aegilops tauschii subsp. strangulata, 641 nucleotides long. The record is from RefSeq and is a predicted model, not a curated record. NCBI's taxonomy places the organism in Eukaryota, Viridiplantae, Streptophyta, Magnoliopsida, Poales, Poaceae.